RNAcentral lists this small RNA (591 nucleotides) under Pan troglodytes (chimpanzee). RNAcentral describes it as "retained intron". The record is from RNAcentral. Lineage: Eukaryota; Metazoa; Chordata; Mammalia; Primates; Hominidae.
GUUAGUGUUGCUACUUGUGCAUGGGUUUAGCAAGUAGGGAAUUUGAUCCUGAAACCCAGGUCUUUGAAUUUCCCUCUGCACUGCUUGUAUUUUAUCACCUGUUGUGCUCUCUCUGACAUCAGCCCCCUGUAGGCUUUAAGAAAAUACAGCUAAGCCCUCAAAACUUUCAUUAAAAAUGGACUUAGGUUAUUAAGUAACAUUUUAACUGACUUGGGCUUUAUUUUGUGUUAGAAACUGCCAUCAACAUCGGUUAUGCCUGCAACAUGCUGACUGAUGACAUGAAUGAUGUGUUUGUGAUAGCAGGGAAUAAUGCUGUGGAAGUGAGAGAAGAACUCAGGAAAGCAAAACAAAAUUUGUUUGGACAAAACAGAAAUUUUUCCAAUGGCCAUGUAGUUUGUGAAAAAAAGCAGCAGCUGGAGUUGGAUUCUAUUGUAGAAGAAACCCUAACAGGAGAUUAUGCCUUAAUCAUAAAUGGCCACAGUUUGGCUCAUGCCCUAGAAAGUGAUGUCAAGAAUGAUCUCCUAGAACUUGCUUGCAUGUGUAAGACUGUAAUUUGCUGCAGGGUCACUCCACUCCAGAAAGCCCAAGUGG